RNAcentral lists this ribosomal RNA (600 nucleotides) under uncultured bacterium. Its description in RNAcentral is "bacterial SSU rRNA". It matches the Rfam family "Bacterial small subunit ribosomal RNA", at positions 84 to 657 of the family's 1533-position model. The record is from RNAcentral.
GUUAGCAGAAAGUGGCGAACGGGUGAGUAACGCGUGGGUAAUCUACCCUGUUUAGUGGGGGAUAACCCUCCGAAAGGAGGGCUAAUACCGCAUAAUAUCUUCUCCUCUAAAAGAGGUAAAGAUUAAAGAUGGCCUCUAUACUAUGCUAUCGCUUCAGGAUGAGCCCGCGUCCUAUUAGUUAGUUGGUGGGGUAAUGGCCUACCAAGACUACAAUGGGUAGCCGGUCUGAGAGGAUGUACGGCCACACUGGGACUGAGAUACGGCCCAGACUCCUACGGGAGGCAGCAGUGGGGAAUAUUGCGCAAUGGGGGAAACCCUGACGCAGCGACGCCGCGUGGAUGAUGAAGGCCCUUGGGUUGUAAAAUCCUGUUCUGGGGGAAGAAAGCUUAAGGGUUCAAUAAACCUUUAAGCCUGACGGUACCCCAAGAGAAAGCUCCGGCUAAUUAUGUGCCAGCAGCCGCGGUAAUACAUAAGGAGCAAGCGUUAUCCGGAAUUAUUGGGCGUAAAGAGCUCGUAGGCGGUCUUAAAAGUCAGUUGUGAAAUUAUCAGGCUCAACCUGAUAAGGUCAUCUGAAACUUUAAGACUUGAGGUUAGAAGAGG